GGAUAUGGGGGCAAUUUAGCUGCAACGUGUAACACCCCAUCAAUCACCAGGGUUGAUUCAUCUGAUAUGAUUCCUAAGAGGCUGUCCCCAUCCCCCUCUCAUUUCCUUGACUUCUUUUUCAAAGAGAAGAGAAAGAGAAUACUCUACUCAGAAAAGAUCCCUGCUUCAGUCAAGAUCCUAUGAAUGACUAUGUUUCUUUGCCUAAGAUCUCCGAGCUUCCAAAGAAUCUCUCUUCCUUUUGAAAUCUCAAUAUAAGAAUAUGAGUCAGGUGAUCAUCAACCACUGACCAUCAUCAACUGAUGGUCAGCUGGC
This 312-nucleotide small nuclear RNA is filed under the name Tupaia belangeri chinensis (Chinese tree shrew). Its description in RNAcentral is "Tupaia chinensis (Chinese tree shrew) 7SK RNA". It matches the Rfam family "7SK RNA". Rfam says of the family: 7SK was discovered as an abundant small nuclear RNA in the mid-70s but a possible function has only recently been suggested. Two independent studies have found that 7SK RNA binds the CDK9/cyclin T complex (known as elongation factor P-TEFb). The record is from Rfam by way of RNAcentral. Lineage: Eukaryota; Metazoa; Chordata; Mammalia; Scandentia; Tupaiidae.